Molecule: ribosomal RNA, 503 nt
Filed under: uncultured Glomus
Lineage: Eukaryota; Fungi; Glomeromycota; Glomeromycetes; Glomerales; Glomeraceae
Description: SSU rRNA
Rfam family: Eukaryotic small subunit ribosomal RNA
Source: RNAcentral
AGCAGCCGCGGUAAUUCCAGCUCCAAUAGCGUAUAUUAAAGUUGUUGCAGUUAAAAAGCUCGUAGUUGAAUUUCGGGGUUAGUAGGCUGGUCAUGCCUCUGGUAUGUACUGGUCUCACUGAUUCCUCCUUCCUUAUGAACCGUAAUGCCAUUAAUUUGGUGUUGCGGGAAAUUUGGACUGUUACUUUGAAAAAUUAGAGUGUUUAAAGCAAGCUAACGCUUGAAUACAUUAGCAUGGAAUAAUGAAAUAGGACGUUCGAUCUUAUUUUGUUGGUUUCUAGGAUUGACGUAAUGAUUAAUAGGGAUAGUUGGGGGCAUUAGUAUUCAAUUGUCAGAGGUGAAAUUCUUGGAUUUAUUGAAGACUAACUACUGCGAAAGCAUUUGCCAAGGAUGUUUUCAUUAAUCAAGAAUGAAAGUUAGGGGAUCGAAGACGAUCAGAUACCGUCGUAGUCUUAACCAUAAACUAUGCCGACUAGGGAUCGGAUGAUGUUAAUUUUUUAAUGU